This is a non-coding RNA of Parascedosporium putredinis, 88 nucleotides long. The record is from the annotation of a GenBank genome assembly. NCBI's taxonomy places the organism in Eukaryota, Fungi, Ascomycota, Sordariomycetes, Microascales, Microascaceae.
GGUUCGGUGGUGUAGUCGGUUAUCACGCUUGUCUCACAUCUCCACUGAGGCACACAAGAGGUCCCCGGUUCGAACCCGGGCCGAGCCA